Long non-coding RNA from Cyclopterus lumpus (lumpfish), 2179 nucleotides. RefSeq lists it as uncharacterized. The transcript has 4 exons. The record is from RefSeq and is a predicted model, not a curated record. NCBI's taxonomy places the organism in Eukaryota, Metazoa, Chordata, Actinopteri, Perciformes, Cyclopteridae.
AGAUGGUGGGGUGUAUUGACUGAACACUUUAUAACCACAUUUCUACAACUUUGACACAUUGAGUUUUUUUUUCCUUUCAGUGCUCAAACACCACUUACAUUUUUGCUUUCUGUUUCAUAUUGAAAGUGGUUUGAUGGCUUUAUAUUGGCAUGUGUGACAAUGGAGUCAUGUGACUGACGUGUUCUGUAUAAGAAACAAGCCGUGAACAGAGAGAGACAGAAUGCCUUUGCAAAUGAAAGUAGUUUGUGAGACGGUACAGAGGACAGAAAGGAUUGACAGGUAACUUCAGAUUUCUGCAUCAAGAAUGACCGACUACUGCACUGAAGACACCUAUUUGUAUCUGCUUCCUUGAUAGCAUCACGAUAAAACCAUUUCAACGUGGAAACAAGUGUUUUGAGGCCGCAGGAACAAGAACAUCUGAAGCGGCAGUGUGAAUAUCUAAUGCAACAUGCAGGCACUUGAAAAUCUUACGAAACAGCCAGCGGACUGAAACCCCGGCCUUUGCACACUCACAUACAUACACACAAUCAAUUGAUUUAAGACUUUCUGAAAAUGCCUAAAAAGCUACCACCUCAUCUGUCUGAUCUGCUACACAGAUUAGGUGAAGCUGGGAGAUUAUUUAUUGAACAGUAUGACAUCAAGAAAGAAAGAAUGCAAGCCAUUGCAAGUGAACUCAGGGUUACAUCUAAAGAAGUGCAAGAGAUGCAGAAAAGCGCAACCACAACCAGAAUGAUGGGGGCAGUUUUAGGAGGACUUGGAAUAGCUGUGGGAAUAGGUGUAGCUUUGCAAACAGGAGCUGAAAAAAUGGCAAUAGCAGGAGGAAUUGCAGUAUUUGGUGGAGGUACAGCUGUUAUUACCGCAAAUGUAGCCAAGGCAUUGGCAGAGAUCACAGGUAUACAUACUGUGGAAGAGUUGGGGAAAGAAUUCAUGGAAAUCAUUGAACUACAAAAGGAUAUCCUGAAAGAUAUUAUGGCGGUGUCUGAGGAGUUGGAGGAAAAAUCCUCCUCAUUAAUAACAACAACUAAGACACAGACAAAAGAAAGUCUGACGAAAACAGAACAACUCCAGCAGGUUCUGAAGCGAACAGCUGAACUGUCUGAGAGGAGCAAGAAAGUUAUGACCAUGCUGAGUCAAGUGAGGGAACUAAUCAACUUCAUUGCCACUUUAAUCCGAAUCACUCCAAAUCCUGAGCAUGACGAAAAGUUAAGAAACUGCAUCACAGAUUCAGCCCUGCAGUGCGAGAGAACUGUUCAUGAGUUUGCAAAGAUGAGGAAUACGCUCAAGGACUUUGAGGAAAUGCAAACAGAAUAGGAAGGAGCAACAUUCUAACAUUGCAAUGAAGAACAUUGUUUUAGCACAACUGGCUAUCUAUCUAUUUAGCUGAAAAGCUAUCUAGCUGAGUAGCUAUCUAUCUAUUUAGCUGAAUAGCUAUCUAGCUGAGUAGCUAUUUAGCUAUUUAGCUGAACAGCUAUCUAGCUGAGUAGCUAUUUAGCUAUCUAGCUGAAUAGCUAUCUAGCUGAGUAGCUAUUUAGCUAUCUAGCUGAAUAGCUAUCUAGCUGAGUAGCUAUGCACUUUUCCCCAGAGAAUGUGUGUAUGGUGGCUCGUUCAUCAAGCUAAAGUGUAGGACAAGACAUGCGUUGUUGUUUGUAAGCAGGGUUUGUUUCAGUUGCACAUUAGAUAAAGGGAUAAUAGUGGGACAAAUAAAGAAGGUUACAUUUUAUACAUUUGGAGCAUUAUUUUCUGCACUUUUGUGCUUUUUUUUAUAUAAUAGAAUGUAAAAAAAGUGUUUUGGGAGGCAUGACUAAUCAUUGCACUUUGUUGUAUUUGUACUGUGCUUUAUUUAUCUGUGUUUUUAUUCAAUUUUUCUUUGCUUCCAUAUGUUAAGGUUGAAACACAUCUCCCGGUAAAGGGUUGACAUAGAAAAGUGAUUUUCUUGAUUUUCUUAGUUUGAAAAGUGUUAGAUAGCUAUGUACUUAUUUUUCUAAAACAUACAGAUGUUAAGUUUUCCAAACCUAUUGUUUUAUAACAUUGUCUGUGCUAAAUAGAAAUAGCUGCCAUGGGUGAUAACUGACUAAUCAAAACAAAAAGUAAUCUGCUAAUUAUUUAUAGCCGUCGGAAUGUCAAACUGGUUUAACAAGGAAGUUGUUCCUCAGUGAGUGACACCAUAAAGCAUCCAGAA